GCAAUCAUACCAGCACUAAUGCACUGGAUCCCAUCAGAACUUCGAAGUUAAGCGUGCUUGGGCGAGAGCAGUACUAGGAUGGAUGACCUCGUGGGAAGUCCUCGUAUUGCAUCU
RNAcentral lists this ribosomal RNA (114 nucleotides) under Zingiber officinale. Lineage: Eukaryota; Viridiplantae; Streptophyta; Magnoliopsida; Zingiberales; Zingiberaceae. The record is from RNAcentral.